UGGGGUAUCGCCAAGUGGUAAGGCAGCAGGUUUUGGUCCUGCCAUCUCGGAGGUUCGAAUCCUUCUACCCCAGCCA
The sequence is a transfer RNA, 76 nucleotides long. It matches the Rfam family "tRNA". From Rfam's summary of the family: Transfer RNA (tRNA) molecules are approximately 80 nucleotides in length.